This 400-nucleotide ribosomal RNA is filed under the name uncultured bacterium. Its description in RNAcentral is "bacterial SSU rRNA". It matches the Rfam family "Bacterial small subunit ribosomal RNA", at positions 28 to 422 of the family's 1533-position model. The record is from RNAcentral.
GACGAACGCUGGCGGCGCGCUUAACACAUGCAAGUCGAGCGAGAACCGGAGCCUCGGCUCCGGGGAAAGCGGCGAACGGGUGAGUAACACGUGGGUAACCCACCCUUGGUAUCCGGAUAGCCCGGGGAAACCCGGAUUAAUACGGAAUGGCCCAACAGCCUCCCGGGGCGGUUGGAAAGGUAGCUUCGGCCUCCGACCAAGGACGGGCCCGCGGCGGAUUAGCUUGUUGGUGCGGGUAACGGCCCACCAAGGCAACGAUCCGUAGCUGGCUGAGAGGACGAUCAGCCACACUGGGACUGAGACACGGCCCAGACUCCUACGGGAGGCAGCAGUGGGGAAUCUUGCGCAAUGGGCGAAAGCCUGACGCAGCGACGCCGCGUGGGGGAAGAAGGCUUUCGGG